Molecule: non-coding RNA, 72 nt
Organism: Phrynosoma platyrhinos (Desert horned lizard)
Lineage: Eukaryota; Metazoa; Chordata; Lepidosauria; Squamata; Phrynosomatidae
Source: the annotation of a GenBank genome assembly
AGCAGGGUGGCAUAGUGGUUUGAGCAUUGGACUACAAAUCUGGAGACCCAGGUUCGAAUCCUUGCUCAGGUA